This is a non-coding RNA of Macaca mulatta (Rhesus monkey), 3108 nucleotides long. Lineage: Eukaryota; Metazoa; Chordata; Mammalia; Primates; Cercopithecidae. The record is from RefSeq and is a predicted model, not a curated record.
AGGCGGGGCCAUGGAGGAGGGGGCGGAACCAAGGCGCAAGAGGGUGGAGAGCGAACCUGAGAGCGCGUAGGGCGGCACUGGCGUGCGAGAGGCGGAGCCAUGGUUGUGGGGGCGUGGCCUGGCACAAAUGGGUGAACCAUCUCCUCUUCCCAGUAAACACAGAAGACAAGACAGAGAGGAGCACAGGAGGGAAGAAGAGCCCCUGGGGAAGAAGUCCAGUCUUUGCAGUUUCCCCCACUGUGGCAGAGGGGCCAUCCUCCUCCCUUGUUCCCCAGGAGGCUCCUGUUCAACUUUUCAGAACCAUCUCCUCUUCCCAGUAAACACAGAAGACAAGACAGAGAGGAGCACAGGAGGGAAGAAGAGUCCCUGGGGAAGAAGUCUUUCAGCUUCUUCCAUGCAGCAUGUCUUUCAUGCUGGUUCUUUCUGGCUGACCUGAAACACAGGUGCCUGCAGAGAAAGAUGAAGAACCUCCCCAUGGUCCCCUGCUAGCCCUGACUGUUUCCAUAGGGAAAGGCUGGGUCAUACCCCAGGGCAAAUUCUACUGAUCCUGCACCUGUCCAAGCUGCCCAGUGUGCAGUUAGUUUCCUCUGUAAGAGACACCCUGGAGGACGUUGGUUCCAUUUGGGGCUCCACCACUGCUGCUGGGGUAUGGGUGGAGGGGAAGGCCACAGGGCCUUGCUGGGGGGGCUGUGCAGCGGGUGUACAGGCUAGGGAGGGGACUGGCAGGCAGGCUAGCUGUGUUGGUGGCUUCCGCCCUGCCUCCUGAUCCUCCUCAGGCCUCUGAUUUCUUUGUUGCUCCUUUGACUAUUCACAACACAGAAAUUUAAAAUGGGAAUGGUAGGCUCACUAUACUUCUGCUGCUUUGAGUUGCCUGAGAUGCCAUGAUGCACUUUGUGGAUGGGGAAGGAGUGCAGCUAGUGGUGGCAUCAGCUGAAGGUGGGGAGGGAGGUUUUGGGACUGUGCUAUAGUCUCCAGCUUAGAUGUCUUGUAGCCUGGGAGCAGAUAGGUGGCCAGUACUUCAUUAUACUUCCGGUGCUGCAAGGAUCCUGAAUCCCUUUUCAAGUAUGACCUAUGGACACCAUCAAUUUAGUCUGCUCAGGGUCCUUAUAGCCAGAGAGUGGCUGGGCACUUGUUUUCCUCCUCAUGCUCUACAUUCAUUUCCUCCUCAUGCUCUACAUUCAUCUUUGGAUUCUAGGGGCCUCUCUUGCUUGUGUUGAGGAUGAGGAAUUUCCUUCUUUCAUUUUUUAAACACAGGAUUUCACCCAGGCUGGAGUACAGGAGGGUGAAGAAUUUCUUGAGAGAAAGUUUUCACACUCCAUAGACAUAUAAGAGUGUUACCGUAGGUAAAUACAAUGGAGAGUGAUUGCUGGAUCUUAUGGUAAGAGCAUGUUUUGUAAGAGUUUUGUGAGAAACUGCCAACUGUCUUCCAAAGUGGCUACACCAUUUUGCAUUUCCACCAGCAAUUAAUGAGAAUUUCUGUUACUCCACAUUUGGUGUUGUCAGUGUUUGCAAUUUUGGCCAUUCUAAUAAGUGUAAAGUGCUAUGUUAUUGUUGUUUUAAUUUGCAAUUCCCAGAUGACAUGUGAUGUGGGACAUCUUUUCAUACGCUUAGUUGCCUUUUGUAUAUCUUUUUCUGUUGAGGUGUCUGUUAAGGUAGUUUGCCCAUUUUCAAUCCGUUGUGCAUUUUCUUUUUGUUAAGUUUUAAGAGUUGUGGCCGGGCGCGGUGGCUCAAGCCUGUAAUCCCAGCACUUUGGGAGGCCGAGACGGGCGGAUCACGAGGUCGGGAGAUCGAGACCAUCCUGGCGAACACGGUGAAACCCCGUCUCUACUAAAAAAAUACAAAAAACUAGCCGGGCGAGGUGGCGGGCGCCUGUAGUCCCAGCUACUCGGGAGGCUGAGGCAGGAGAAUGGCGGGAACCCGGGAGGCGGAGCUUGCAGUGAGCUGAGAUCCGGCCACUGCACUCCAGCCUGGGAGACAGAGCGAGACUCCGUCUCAAAAAAAAUAAAAAUAAAAAAAAAUAAGAGUUGUUGGUAUAUUUGGAAUAACAGUCCUUCAUGAGGUAUCUCUUUUGUACAUUGUUUCUUCCUAUGUCUUAUCUCUCAUUCUCUGAUCAGUGUCAUUUGCUAACCAACAGUUUUUAGUUUGAAUAAAGUCCAGCUUAUCAAUGCUUUCUUUCAUGGAUUGUGCCUUUUGAGUCAUAUCUGAAAAGUCUUUGCCAAACCCAAACUAGAUUUUCUCCUGUGCUAUCUUUUAAGAGUUUUAUAGUUUUAUGUUUUAUAUUUUGGCCUAUGAGCUAUGAUCUAUUUUGAGUUUUUUAUGAAAGGUGUCAGUUUUGUGUGGAAGUUCUUUUUUUUUUUUUUUGGAUGUUCAGUUGUUCCAGCAUGAUUUGCUAAAAGACAGUCUUUUCUCCAUUGUAUUGUCCUUGAUCUUUUGUCAAGGAUCAGUUGACUAUAUUUAUGUGGAUCUAUUUCUGGGCUCUCUAUUCAGUUCUACUGACCUAUUUGUCUAUUCUUAUGACAAUACCACACUCCCUUGAUUACUGUAGCUUUAUAGUAGGUCAUGAAGUCAGACAGUAUAGUCCUCCAACUUUUCUUUUUCUUCAAUAUUAAGUUGGCUACUCUGUCUUUUGCCUUUCCGUGUAAACAUUAAAAGCAGUUCAUUGAUAUCUACGAAAUAACUUGCUGGAAUUUUAAUUGGGAUUGUGUUGAAUCUAUAGAUAAAGUUUAGAAGAACUGGACAAUACUGAGUCUUUCUAUUCAUGAACAUGGAAUGUCUCUCCAUUUAUUUAGUUCCUUUUUUAUUUCUUUUAUCAGAGUUUUCUUUUUUCCUCAUGUAGAUCUUGUAUGUAUAUUGUUAGAUUUAUACCUAAGUAUUUCAUUUUGAGGAAUGCUAAUGUAACUGGUAUUGUGUUUUAAAUUUCACAUUUCACUUGUUCAUUGCUGGCAUGUAGGAAAGGGAUUGAGCUUUGUAUAUUAACCUCGUGUCUUAUAACUUUGCUUUAAUUGCUUAGAAGUUCAAGGACAUUUUCUUGUCAAUUGUUUUAGAUUUUCUAUAUAGGAGUUGUGUCAUCUGGGAACAAAGUUUUUAUAUCUUCCCUCCAAAUCUGUA